CCUACGGGUGGCAGCAGUGGGGAAUAUUGCGCAAUGGGCGAAAGCCUGACGCAGCGACGCCGCGUGAGGGAUGAAGGCCUUCGGAUCGUAAACCUCUGUCAGCAGGGAAGAACGGUUACUGUGUUAUUCAGCAGUGAAUUGACGGUACCUGCAAAGGAAGCACCGGCUAACUCCGUGCCAGCAGCCGCGGUAAUACGGAGGGUGCGAGCGUUAAUCGGAAUUACUGGGCGUAAAGCGCUCGUAGGCGGUAUGUCAAGUCAAGGGUGAAAUCCCCGCGCUCAACGUGGGAACUGCCUUUGAAACUGGCAAACUGGAGUGUGUGAGAGGAUGGUAGAAUUCCAGGUGUAGGAGUGAAAUCCGUAGAGAUCUGGAGGAACAUCGGUGGCGAAGGCGGCUAUCUGGCACAUGACUGACGCUGAGGUGCGAAAGCGUGGGUAGCAAACAGGAUUAGAUACCCGUGUAGUC
Molecule: ribosomal RNA, 465 nt
Filed under: uncultured bacterium
Lineage: Bacteria
Description: partial 16S ribosomal RNA
Rfam family: Bacterial small subunit ribosomal RNA
Source: RNAcentral